UGGGGAUCUGGGCACUUUCUCAUGCUCCUUGAGCUGCAAGUCAUAGAAGGAGUGGGGUGGGAGCUGGGAAUGUACCUUCCCAAGGCCACUGGCAGAACCAGCAGGCCCUUUGCUCUGGGAUGAGCUCCCUCUGAGGGGUGGGGACAGUAAAGCGGACCGAAGUCCCUGUUCUGCGGGAUGGAAACUGGCUCCCCUCCAUUGUACAGGCCAGCUCUGGGGAUUUGGGCAGCAGAUUUGGGGUUGACAGCAGAAUGACAUGAUCACCAGUUGACCUUGGCCAGGAUGCCAGCUUACUUUCUCGCUUACUUCUGCAGGUUCUUUGUUCUGCGGAAAAUAUUUAUGGCCAGGCAAGGUGGCUUACACCUGUAAUGCCAGCACUUUGGGAGGCUGAGGCAGGCGGAUCACCUGAGGUCGAGAGUUGGAGACCAGUGUGACCAACAUGGAGAAACCCCAUCUCUACUAAAAAUACAAAAUCAGCUGGGGGUGGUGGCGCAUGCCUGUAAUCCCAGCUACUCGGGAAGCUGAGGCAGGAGAAUCGCUUGAACCGGGGAGGCGGAGGUUGUGGUGAGCCGAGAUUGCACCAUUGCACUCCAGCCUGGCAACAAGG
This 607-nucleotide long non-coding RNA is filed under the name Homo sapiens (human). RNAcentral describes it as "LHRI_LNC1830.1". The record is from RNAcentral. Lineage: Eukaryota; Metazoa; Chordata; Mammalia; Primates; Hominidae.